GGAUCAUUACUGUGAUUUAUACACCACACUGCGUGGGCGACACGAAACACCGAAACCGAACGCACGCCGUCAAGCAAGAAAUCCACAAAACUUUCAACAACGGAUCUCUUGGUUCUCGCAUCGAUGAAGAGCGCAGCGAAAUGCGAUACCUAGUGUGAAUUGCAGCCAUCGUGAAUCAUCGAGUUCUUGAACGCACAUUGCGCCCGCUGGUAUUCCGGCGGGCAUGCCUGUCUGAGCGUCGUUUCCUUCUUGGAGCGGUGCUUCAGACCUGGCGGGCUGUCUUUUUGGACGGCGCGCCCAAAGCGAGGGGCCUUCUGCGCGAACUAGACUGUGCGCGCGGGGCGGCCGGCGAACUUAUUACCAAGCUCGACCUCAGAUCAGGCAGGAGUACCCGCUGA
RNAcentral lists this ribosomal RNA (398 nucleotides) under fungal sp. 1 EO-2015. Its description in RNAcentral is "eukaryotic LSU rRNA". The stretch from base 89 to 241 matches the Rfam family "5.8S ribosomal RNA". The record is from RNAcentral. Lineage: Eukaryota; Fungi.